This 658-nucleotide ribosomal RNA is filed under the name Clostridioides difficile. RNAcentral's name for it is "bacterial SSU rRNA". It matches the Rfam family "Bacterial small subunit ribosomal RNA", at positions 160 to 841 of the family's 1533-position model. Lineage: Bacteria; Bacillati; Bacillota; Clostridia; Peptostreptococcales; Peptostreptococcaceae. The record is from RNAcentral.
AUGCUAAUACGGGAUAAUAUAUUUGAGAGGCAUCUCUUGAAUAUCAAAGGUGAGCCAGUACAGGAUGGACCCGCGUCUGAUUAGCUAGUUGGUAAGGUAACGGCUUACCAAGGCGACGAUCAGUAGCCGACCUGAGAGGGUGAUCGGCCACAUUGGAACUGAGACACGGUCCAAACUCCUACGGGAGGCAGCAGUGGGGAAUAUUGCACAAUGGGCGAAAGCCUGAUGCAGCAACGCCGCGUGAGUGAUGAAGGCCUUCGGGUCGUAAAACUCUGUCCUCAAGGAAGAUAAUGACGGUACUUGAGGAGGAAGCCCCGGCUAACUACGUGCCAGCAGCCGCGGUAAUACGUAGGGGGCUAGCGUUAUCCGGAUUUACUGGGCGUAAAGGGUGCGUAGGCGGUCUUUCAAGUCAGGAGUGAAAGGCUACGGCUCAACCGUAGUAAGCUCUUGAAACUGGGAGACUUGAGUGCAGGAGAGGAGAGUGGAAUUCCUAGUGUAGCGGUGAAAUGCGUAGAUAUUAGGAGGAACACCAGUUGCGAAGGCGGCUCUCUGGACUGUAACUGACGCUGAGGCACGAAAGCGUGGGGAGCAAACAGGAUUAGAUACCCUGGUAGUCCACGCUGUAAACGAUGAGUACUAGGUGUCGGGGGUUACCCCC